GUAUAAAUUUCAUAUAGCCACGACAUUCUAUUAACAUACAUUGGGGUAAAUGAAGAAGCAACAUAGACCAUGAAAAAAAUAUCCAGGGUCUACAAAAGGUGCACAGGUGGAGACAUAAAGAUGACAAGGUGUGCACAUGCUCCCUAGAGAACCAGCAACAACCCAUCAGGUUUAUUUCAAUAAUGAUCCUUCCGCAGGUUCACCUACGGAAA
RNAcentral lists this unclassified non-coding RNA (212 nucleotides) under uncultured fungus. Its description in RNAcentral is "sequence contains ITS1". Lineage: Eukaryota; Fungi. The record is from RNAcentral.